GUUAAGGUGGCAGAUUAUGCGUGAAUUUUAAGAGUUUAUGAAGACUUAGGUCCUUUAACUU
Molecule: transfer RNA, 61 nt
Filed under: Demodex brevis
Lineage: Eukaryota; Metazoa; Arthropoda; Arachnida; Trombidiformes; Demodicidae
Description: tRNA-Leu
Source: RNAcentral